Molecule: ribosomal RNA, 468 nt
Filed under: uncultured Klebsiella sp.
Lineage: Bacteria; Pseudomonadati; Pseudomonadota; Gammaproteobacteria; Enterobacterales; Enterobacteriaceae
Description: bacterial SSU rRNA
Rfam family: Bacterial small subunit ribosomal RNA
Source: RNAcentral
CCUACGGGUGGCUGCAGUGGGGAAUAUUGCACAAUGGGCGCAAGCCUGAUGCAGCCAUGCCGCGUGUGUGAAGAAGGCCUUCGGGUUGUAAAGCACUUUCAGCGGGGAGGAAGGCGGUGAGGUUAAUAACCUCAUCGAUUGACGUUACCCGCAGAAGAAGAAGCACCGGCUAACUCCGUGCCAGCAGCCGCGGUAAUACGGAGGGUGCAAGCGUUAAUCGGAAUUACUGGGCGUAAAGCGCACGCAGGCGGUCUGUCAAGUCGGAUGUGAAAUCCCCGGGCUCAACCUGGGAACUGCAUUCGAAACUGGCAGGCUAGAGUCUUGUAGAGGGGGGUAGAAUUCCAGGUGUAGCGGUGAAAUGCGUAGAGAUCUGGAGGAAUACCGGUGGCGAAGGCGGCCCCCUGGACAAAGACUGACGCUCAGGUGCGAAAGCGUGGGGAGCAAACAGGAUUAGAUACCCGUGUAGUC